Molecule: long non-coding RNA, 1393 nt
Organism: Apis florea (little honeybee)
Lineage: Eukaryota; Metazoa; Arthropoda; Insecta; Hymenoptera; Apidae
Source: RefSeq, a predicted model, not a curated record
UUAUUAAUAAAUAGUACGUUGUAGAUGCAAUCUUUAAAUUCUAAUUAAUUAUUAAAAUUGUAUCCAACUAGGGUUCGCAAAUUAAUGUCUUGUAUAUCAAGAUAUACACGUAUAUAUACCAUUUACAUGUUAUAUCUCAUUAGAGGAGCACGUUUCCGGUUUUCAUUAGGGAUUUAAUAAGUUUAGUGAUCAGACAGCUUUAUUUCCUUCGAGUGCAUUGUUUCGCUACGAAUAUUCUCGUUAUCAUUUUCCUUCCUUCCACAUUCCAACCAACAAUCUCCAUUUGUAAUCCUCUUUAAGUAAAAGAUAUAAAACAAAUUUAUAAGCAAUUAUUCUCGAGUCCAAAUUCCCAUACACAAUUUGUUGCACUCGUAAUGACGACUUCUGUUUUCAAUCUUCUUUAAGACAAGAUAUCGUCUUAAAGAAUCGUCUUCGACACACCGUCCAUUAUCGUAUUUUAGAAUUUAAUUUCACAAAAUAAAAAUCGAUUGUUUUUAACCCGAAAAACCCUCGAACAAUCAUUGCAUUAAGAGGUUAAGUUUCCCUCGGAAUAAUAAUAAUAAUAUUCUCGACUUCUCAUUUAUAUCCUUGUUUUAAUUCUUAUUCUAUCUUUCUUUUUAAUUUCAGGAGCUUUUAAACUCCACUUUAUCUCCCAUUACGGUCCAUUACGAGAAUCUCCACAUAAAAUCUCAUAGGAGCGGGAACAAUUUGAUGGUGGCUUCUCUUCUGGCAGAUUCAUUAUUGGUGUGAUCGUUGGUGCGAUUUGAUGAUUGAUGAGGGUGAUUGAGGUGAUCGAUCGAGGAUGGAUUGUAAGAAAUUGAAAUGAUUUAUUUUGAUAGAACAAUCGAUAUAUUUGUGUUUUGUAUAAAUUUUGUGUUAUUUUUUUUUUUUUUUUUUUUAGUUAUGUAUCGUUGAUAUGCCUCAGAGAAGUGUUGUUUGAAUGAUAGAUUAUUGGAAUUAAUUAAAAUUGAAAGUUGAAAAUGUGAUGAUAGUGACAAUGUGUGACAAUAUGUUGAUAAUUUGUAAAGUAAUUGAAUGUGAAUAUUGUGGUUGGAGAAUAAUUGGCUUAAUUAACACGUUGACUGUAUGCGAAAGACUCGGAAGGAUCUUUUUACACAAUAUAUCGGAUUUUAUCGAGUGUAUAUAUAUGUAUGUAUUUUUUAAACUAUUAAUUUUAAAUUACAGAUGACUCUCGAUGGAAAUCGUCAGAGGCCUUCAUUAACAGUCAACAUUGUUAACUGUUGAUCUGAAAUCAACGGUGUGAUGAUGUAAUUUGACGUGGAUAUUUUUGCGUUCCGACAAACCGUAGUAGAAAAUAAUUUCAGAAGCUUUUUCAUGUACUUGAUCAUUGAUAUAUUUAAAAGUUUCUUCACAUUGACAUCAUACUUAUCUU